This is a long non-coding RNA of Hemicordylus capensis (graceful crag lizard), 761 nucleotides long. RefSeq lists it as uncharacterized. The transcript is spliced from 2 exons. NCBI's taxonomy places the organism in Eukaryota, Metazoa, Chordata, Lepidosauria, Squamata, Cordylidae. The record is from RefSeq and is a predicted model, not a curated record.
CCUUCCUCUGAAGUAGGCCCAUUGGGAGAGAGGACUCAAAGAGCUAGGCAAACACUUCAUUGUUGGACUUGAGCCCUCGCACAGCAUUGUCUCUUCUCCUGAGGUCCUGGGGGCAGGAUAGGAGCUUCAUAGCAGAGGGCACUGGGUCUCCAGAGUACCAGUACUCUCCUGAGGGGCUGACUGCAGGAGAGGUGACAAACUCUAGCUACUCGGAGUCUAUCAGUUCUAGGGGUCUUUCCUCAAGACUGGGAGCCUCGGCUGUGCUGUGCUCAUCUUCCACAGAGGAUCCCCUCCAGAUCAGACUCCAGGUAGCACAAGUCUCAAAGCUGGGAUGAGGAGAGCCAGGCAACCAGUCAGCAAUCAGGGUUGAAAACAGUAGUCAGAAAUCAGGAACACACCAGAGGACAAGCCAAGCAGAAUGUCAGGAAUGAGAAGAUAAACUGGUAGCCAGAAAUCAAGAAUACACCAGUCAGAUGGUCAGGAAUCGAGAGUGAACAAGUAGCCAGAGGUCAGGAUCACGGCAGAGGUCAAGCCGAGCAGAAUCAGUAAUGGGGAUGAGCACCUACUGAACGACCUCUUUUCUUGUAGAAGUGCCCUGUCCUCCUUUUUGCUUCUUGUCACUCCAGUGAACUCGGAGCCACUAGUGCCACUCACCCAUUCCAACUUUCUUCAGUUUUCAUAGACCUGAUCAAGUAGUAUCAUUUCACUUGCAUCUUUUUGUUUGUUUCCAUUGAAUAAACGAGUCUUACAUGAUUAGGGAA